RNAcentral lists this ribosomal RNA (509 nucleotides) under uncultured bacterium. RNAcentral's name for it is "bacterial SSU rRNA". It matches the Rfam family "Bacterial small subunit ribosomal RNA", at positions 8 to 526 of the family's 1533-position model. The record is from RNAcentral.
AGGGUUUGAUUCUGGCUCAGGACGAACGCUGGCGGUGCGCCUUAUGCAUGCAAGUUGAGCGAAGCUUUUUGGUAGUUUACUACUAGAAAUGACUGAGCGGCGAACGGGUGAGUAACGCGUGAGCAAUCUACCUUAGUUACUGGGAUAGCCCGAGGAAACUCGGAUUAAUACCGGAUAUUCUUAUUUUUUCACAUGAAGUUUUAAGGAAAGGUCAGCCGAACUAAGAUGAGCUCGCGUUCUAUCAGCUAGUUGGUGGGGUAAAAGCCUACCAAGGCUACGACGGAUAGCUGGUCUGAGAGGACGAUCAGCCACACUGGGACUGAGACACGGCCCAGACUCCUACGGGAGGCUGCAGCAGGGAAUAUUGUGCAAUGAGCGAAAGCUUGACACAGCGACACCGCGUGUGGGAUGACGGUUCUAGGAUUGUAAACCACUUUCAGGAGGGAAGAAAAUGACGGUACCUCCACAAGAAGACCCGGCCAACUAUGUGCCAGCCGCCGCGGUAAUAC